RNAcentral lists this ribosomal RNA (407 nucleotides) under uncultured Marinomonas sp. RNAcentral describes it as "bacterial SSU rRNA". It matches the Rfam family "Bacterial small subunit ribosomal RNA", at positions 44 to 454 of the family's 1533-position model. Lineage: Bacteria; Pseudomonadati; Pseudomonadota; Gammaproteobacteria; Oceanospirillales; Oceanospirillaceae. The record is from RNAcentral.
UGGCCAAAGGUUCGAGCGGUAACAGGAAUUAGCUUGCUAAUUUGCUGACGAGCGGCGGACGGGUGAGUAAAGCGUAGGAAUCUGCCUGGUAGUGGGGGACAACAUGUGGAAACGCAUGCUAAUACCGCAUACGCCCUACGGGGGAAAGGAGGGGAUCUUCGGACCUUUCGCUAUCAGAUGAGCCUGCGUGAGAUUAGCUAGUUGGUGGGGUAAAGGCUCACCAAGGCGACGAUCUCUAGCUGGUCUGAGAGGAUGAUCAGCCACACUGGGACUGAGACACGGCCCAGACUCCUACGGGAGGCAGCAGUGGGGAAUAUUGGACAAUGGGCGCAAGCCUGAUCCAGCCAUGCCGCGUGUGUGAAGAAGGCCUUCGGGUUGUAAAGCACUUUCAGAGGUGAGGAAGGGUG